GUUAAUUUAUACUAUAUACUAUUAAGGAUAUAAUAUAUUAAUAUAAUAUACUUCUAUAAUACUUUUUGUACACUCUUAACCCAAAGAAAAAAGAAAAAGAAAACGUUGUACAGGGCAUAUGUGCAAAAUCUCUGAACAGAAAUUAAUUAACCUCACAGAACAAAGAUCCGCAUUUUCAAAACUUUGACAAAAGACCCACUCCACUGGCAUCGGCGAUUAAACGCAAGCAACCACAUUAGAAGAAUAUGCCAAUCGCUAAUAGAAAGUGAUUCAAAUUAGAAGAAAAAAAGAAGAAGAAACUAGCCAUUGGGGUCACAAAUUCAAAUGAUAUAUAUAUUGGGUUACAACACAAGUUGUCCAUUUUUCUUCAUAGAAAGACAAACAAAUCUCUUCUUCUUCCUCCUCAAUUCUCUCUCUUUCUCUCUCUAAACGCUCCUCCCUCUUUCUCUUUCUCUCUUUCUCUGAUUCUGCACAUGGAUCUGCAUUAAAGGUGCUGUGGUCGAGAAGUUGGUAGAAGAAAUAACAACCAAUGAUCAGCAUUUGAGGCAUCUUAUAAGUAUGUGUGACUAGUGAAGAACUGUAUCUUUGCGUUGGCCUUUCUAAAAUCACCCAUGAUUUUCAGAAUUUUGUAGACCAUGCUGGAAGUGAAAGAGCUUCACAGACACAUGCAGAUGGGGCGAGGCUUAGAGAAGGCGAUCAUAUCAAUCUUAGUUUGAUAACUCUCACAACUGUGAUAAGAAAGCUCAGAAGCGGUCAUAUACCCUACGGGGACUCCAGCUUUCCGGCAAGUUUUGGAAAAUGAGAUUGAAAACAGAGCACCAGAAAAUGAAGACUUCAUUUCAUACCCGAUAAGACCCAGCCAGAGUUUGUGAAAGAGACUUCUACAAUAUGUGGAGACGUUUCAUCAAAGGAAGGAACUCCAGGCUAUCAUCAUUCUAUUUCAGGUAAUAUGAAGAAAAUGCAGAAGAUGGUUUAGAAUGCAGCAGAGGAGACUGUGAGAAGCAUAAGAGCUUAUGUGACAUAAUUGAAGGAACAUGUUGCCAAACUGCAAUACCAAAAGCAGCUACUUGUUUGCUAAGUAUAGUAUUUGCACUACCAACAGAUAACAGACCCUGGAUUAUAGGGUGGAACCCAAUUUCAAACCUUCUACAUUUGUGACAAUUGCAUUUUUCAUUUGUAAGUAUUUCCUAUUUCUGUACAAGUAAAUGAAUUUUAGAGGUUCUUUCUCCGUGCAUCAUUUGUUUAUAUCUUUACUUUUGCUCAAAUUCUAGUGUGACCAAUGCGCAUGAAGGAAGAGGGUCUCGAUAUGGCAAUCUUAAUAUUUUAAUAACAAAAGAAUUGAUUUAUCUUGUUUC
Molecule: RNA transcript, 1355 nt
Organism: Ricinus communis (castor bean)
Lineage: Eukaryota; Viridiplantae; Streptophyta; Magnoliopsida; Malpighiales; Euphorbiaceae
Gene name: kinesin-like protein NACK1
Exons: 3
Source: RefSeq, a predicted model, not a curated record